AACUCAGAGAGAUGGGCAGAUGUUUGUCUGGAUGGAUGAUAACCCUCCGGCUGCGCACACACACAGACUCUUAUGUUUUGCUCCGAGGCAACUGAUGUACUCAAUGGCAGUUAAUUCUUCCUAGAGCAACAUGAAAAAGAAAACACCUUGAGAUGGAGAUUUACAUGCAGAGUUUAGAGUGGAAUGCUCUAAACAGGUCUUGUAAGAUAACGAAGAGACCAGGAUUGAACAGAGGAGGAAACUGAUCAGUGAAGCAGUUUCAACAAAGACUCCAGCCAAUCACAGGGGACACUCAAUGGCACCAUAGAGCUGUCUUGAAAUGAGAUUGGGACCCAAUAUCUGAACCUCAUACUCCUUUGGAAUGUAUUAAGGAGCAAUUUAGUAUUUCUCCACAUCUUUGCAUGGCGUGCCUACCUCCUAAAGUACCAGGAAUCAAACUCAGGACCUUGCACUUGUGAGGCAGGCACGGUGCCACUGAGCUAAGUCCCUGGCCCUAUAAAAUAGAAGACAUUUUCAGCAGGUUUGGGAGUUACAUUUUUUCCCCCAUAUCAUUUUGGAGGUCUUCCACCAAGAUUACUGGUCAGAGUUUGGAGACUAAAACUAGAAAGGUAACAGGGCUAUGAAGACAGCCAAUAUCUUGGCCCUGGCUCCUCAAGGUCAACAAAGAUCCAUGACACAAAGGAACCUUUCUUACAGGAUCCUACAUCUUUGCUUAAGACUUGGAAGAGAAGCCCAAGCCCAGGAGAGUGCGAUGCAAACAUUCUGCUAAAUCCUGUAUGCAGAAGAAUGAAGAGAGACAAGGUGGUUAGAAGGUAAUCUUGCUCCUAAAGUUAAUCAUCUACAGUUAUUUUCAGUUCUUUUCGCCCUUUCCAUUGAGAACCAAGGAAAAACUUCAAUAUAAAGCUUUUUAUAUUUGCAUUGCCAUCCUUCUAUUUGAGAUCAGUUUUUAAUCUUCAUGUCCUUGUUUUCAUUUCUUGUACCUGUAAUGUAUUUUAUGUAAUUUAAUAAGUUUGAGGCAGAGGAGAGGAAAAAUGAUGGGAUUAAUAAGCUUUGAAAUUCAUAGUCCACAAGAGACACUGGGUUAUAGGUUUCAUUCACUCAUUCAUUCAGAAAUACUUAUAAUAACUAUCAGAGGCAAGUCAUUACUCUAAGUACUGAUACUAUAAAUAUGUGUUGUGUGAAAUAUACACAGACUGUGCCUUUCAAGAGCUAAUAAUUUAGGAGACAGAGAGACAGUGUACACAUAAACAUGUAAACAGAAAAGGUCCACUAUAAGAUAUAAGUACAUAUUCAAAACUCUUUUCACACCAAAAGAAAUGAAACUAAUAAUAUUCUUAGAAAGUUAAGUAAUACACAGCUACUCUCCACAUUAAUAAAGUGAGUCUUCCUUGAGCUAAAGACUGUGAAGCAGCCCAGGUUGAGUAAAGCGGCAGAAACUUUAAGAGUGAAGAUGACGCUCAGAGACAGCUAUGUGGGGAACCAAGGCAGCCCAGCCAUGUGAUGAGAUAGCAAAGCUUAGUACAUGCUAAGGAAGAGUCUGUUCUUGAAAAUAACUUCACAACUACAAAUCUCCAGACAUAAUGAAUAUCAAUGACAAAAUAGGGCUUAAGAUGAGCUUAAGAAAAAUAUAUGAAAAUAUUAAAAUUUAAAAAUAUUUCUAAGUAGUCUUAUUUUGUGAAAUGAUUGCUAUCAUGAUUUUAAAAUCACAUAGAAAAAUACGAGAAAGAAAAAUAUAAGCCUAUUUUGUAGGUAUAAUAAUAGUAAAUUCCUAAAUAAUUACAAAUGAUGUACCAAGAGCAAGUAACAGCUAUUCCAAGGAUGAGAAGAAUAAGUAUAUCAAGAUACUUUGUCACUUAAUGGGAAAAAGGUAAAAAAUAUCAGUGUCUCAGUAGGUCCAGGUAAAAAGUUUGAUAAUGUUCAGCACCUAUUUAUGUAAUACAUAGAAAAAUGGACAUGGAUUAGGAAUAGAAAUAAAAUUUCACAGAGCUAGCUAACAAAUGUAGGAAAAGAUGCUCAAAUUUAUGGAAUUGGAAAAAAAAGUUUAGAAAAGGCUAUUACUUCAUGGUGAUCAAAUCAACAGUAAUCACAAAACAGGAUAAACUCAAAUGUCAGUUGAAGCAUCGGAUGCUAUGACAACCUUCAUCAGAAGACAGAGUGGAGCAGCCAUUCUGGAGGGCAAUUUCGAAACCUUUCAUCAGUCAAGUACCGACAUUUCCUACAAUCCAUGGACUCCUGGACUUUUUUCUCCCAGACAAACAUUUCCAUAAAGAAUAUGGGCCAAGAUAUUUGUUAUACCAUUUGUUAGUCUUCAUGGAAGUUUGAGGCAGUCAUGGAUUGAGUAAAUGAAGUAGCAUGUUGGCUUUAGAAACAAUGGCUAGAUGGACAUAGAAGAGUAUAGACUAAAAACAUGGCACUCACUGCAUGAAAAAAGCAAUAAAAAGAAUGAGAUCUACAAGCCAAUAAUAUUUUUAUGAAUUAUACUCAUAUAUACAGGGAAUCACAAUACAUAUUUAAAAGAAUAUACAAAUAAAGGUUAAUAAAGCAAUAGAAUGGCUGUGUAAGGGUGAGUUGGAGAAUGAAGAUGGACUAGAUAAAGAGAAGAAAUGAAAAAAUAAAAGAAAGUGUCAUGUAAACCAAAGAAUAAAAUAUAAUAUACAUGGUGAGGAUCCUUUCAGAGACAGAAGGAAAUAAUUACUUCCAAAAAAUAAUGAGAUCAGAAAAAUGAACCAAUGAGAACUUUUUAAUGUGAACAUGCCAUAUGAGAUUACAAAGGAUGAUGAGGGAAACAAGUCAUGUGUGGUCACAGAAAGUAGCAGUGGCAACAUGGAGAAAGAGCUCUCCUCAGAUAGAGCAGUCAGAAAUGGCUCUCUGGUGAUCAUUAAGCCAAGACCUGCAGGAAGAGAAGCAGCCAGUGUGUGAAUAUGCUUGAGAAAAGCCUUCCAGUCAUGGUGCUUUGCCUGUUCUAAGACUCAAAAGGAGGCCAGUACAGCGGGAGUGUGGUGAAUGAGCAGGAGAGAGGUCCAAGAGGAGAUGUAAUCAGAGGCCAAGGCAUAGGGAGCCUCUGGAGUUCAUCCCAAUUAUAAUGGGAAACCCUGCAGGAUAUUAAGUAGAUGUUAACGAGAUUGGGUUUACAUUUUCAUUUUUUGAAAAUUUACUCUGCUGCUCUGAGUAAUAGAAUAGAAUAACAGAAGAAGCAGGAAACUGACCUGGAGGCGCUCUGAGACAGGGGAUACUGCCUGGGACACAAUGGUGGGUGUGGAGGUGGAGAGAAUAGAGGCAGGAUGGCAUAUGAAGGUAGAAUGGACAGGAAUUACAGGUGGACUGCGUUGGAAGUAAGUGGGUGGGAAGGAAGAAUAAAGACUUUCUCUCAGACAGGCUUAAUUUGGCUCUUUGUGAGACAUCCAAGUAAAUAUAUCAAAUAAGAUAUUAGGUGAAAGAGUAAAACUCAAAGGAUAAGUCGAAGCUAGAGCUGCAAGUUGGGAGGUAUCUUUCCAGGAGCCAUACUUAAGCCACGGGAAAGAUGAGGUCAGACAGACAGUGUGUGUGGAAGGGGAAAAGAUGGACAUACGUGUGGGAUCUCAGGAACUCUGUGGGGUAGGUGUCUGGAAAGCAUAGCAGAUAUGAUAAGAAAGACUGAACAAGAAUGGCCAGGGUGGCAGGAGGAAAACCAGUGUGGUUUUUCCCGCAGCAGAAGAUGCAAGCAGUGAUUACAAAGCCUCUCAGGGCAGGUUGAUAAUGAGCAUCCCAUAAAACCAAUAUUGUAGAAGUAUUGAUUCAACAAUAUUAUUAGUGGUGGAGUCUUAAACAAAGAAUUUUGCUAGUUUAUAUUAGUUGCAACUCCAGCUAUUUUCUUCUUCAGUAAGUAUAGAGCAAAUAGCAAGUUGAGAAUGGAGAUGUAAAUUCUCCAUAUCAUAUUUAUGAUUUAGUCUGUUGGAAAUUUAGUGAUUUUUGUGGAUCGGCACAAUGACAGUUUCCUAGCUGGCUUACCACUAGAAAACAGCUCUCCAAUCCUAGUUCUUUCGUUCAUAUUAAUAGUAUUCUCAUAUGUGAAUUCUCUCCUUCCCAAUUGUCCCACACCUUUUCCACUUAUGUAAUUUCUUAUAGGUCUAACUUUUCUCCUUUGAUCGAGGCUAUGUUAAUGUCUCUUUCCUUUGAAUUUCUCACCAACUUGGUCUUGACAUCUAUUUAGCAAUUAAUUAUGUUUCAUGUUUACUG
Heterocephalus glaber (naked mole-rat) is the source of this 4215-nucleotide long non-coding RNA. The record is from Ensembl. Lineage: Eukaryota; Metazoa; Chordata; Mammalia; Rodentia; Bathyergidae.